GCAGAACGCGAAGAACCUUACCUACUCUUGACAUCCAGAUAACCUCGUAGAGAUAUGAGGGUGCCUUCGGGAAAUCUGAGACAGGUGCUGCAUGGCUGUCGUCAGCUCGUGUCGUGAGAUGUUGGGUUAAGUCCCGUAACGAGCGCAACCCUUGUCCUUAGUUGCCAUCAUUAAGUUGGGAACUCUAAGGAGACUGCCGGUGACAAACCGGAGGAAGGCGGGGACGACGUCAAGUCAUCAUGGCCCUUACGAGUAGGGCUACACACGUGCUACAAUGGUACGUACAGAGGGAGGCAAGCUGGCGACAGUGAGCGGAUCUCUUAAAGCGUAUCGUAGUCCGGAUCGCAGUCUGCAACUCGACUGCGUGAAGUCGGAAUCGCUAGUAAUCGCAAAUCAGAAUGUUGCGGUGAAUACGUUCCCGGGUCUUGUACACACCG
This 437-nucleotide ribosomal RNA is filed under the name uncultured bacterium. RNAcentral describes it as "bacterial SSU rRNA". It matches the Rfam family "Bacterial small subunit ribosomal RNA", at positions 954 to 1392 of the family's 1533-position model. The record is from RNAcentral.